GCAGACGGGUGAGUAAUGCAUGGGAAUCUACCCAGCUCUACGGAAUAACUCAGGGAAACUUGAACUAAUACCGUAUGCGCCCUUCGGGGGAAAGAUUUAUCGGAGUUGGAUGAGCCCAUGUCUGAUUAGCUAGUUGGUGGGGUAAAGGCCUACCAAGGCGACGAUCAGUAGCUGGUCUGAGAGGAUGAUCAGCCACACUGGGACUGAGACACGGCCCAGACUCCUACGGGAGGCAGCAGUGGGGAAUAUUGGACAAUGGGCGAAAGCCUGAUCCAGCCAUGCCGCGUGAGUGAUGAAGGCCCUAGGGUUGUAAAGCUCUUUCACCGGUGAAGAUAAUGACGGUAACCGGAGAAGAAGCCCCGGCUAACUUCGUGCCAGCAGCCGCGGUAAUACGAAGGGGGCUAGCGUUGUUCGGAAUUACUGGGCGUAAAGCGCGCGUAGGCGGAUCGGUCAGUUAGGGGUGAAAUCCCGGGGCUCAACCCCGGAACUGCCUCUAAUACUGCCGAUCUAGAGUUCGAGAGAGGUGAGUGGAAUUCCGAGUGUAGAGGUGAAAUUCGUAGAUAUUCGGAGGAACACCAGUGGCGAAGGCGGCUCACUGG
Molecule: ribosomal RNA, 599 nt
Filed under: Nitratireductor aquibiodomus
Lineage: Bacteria; Pseudomonadati; Pseudomonadota; Alphaproteobacteria; Hyphomicrobiales; Phyllobacteriaceae
Description: bacterial SSU rRNA
Rfam family: Bacterial small subunit ribosomal RNA
Source: RNAcentral